Small nucleolar RNA from Sorex fumeus (smoky shrew), 136 nucleotides. RefSeq annotates it as small nucleolar RNA SNORA55. The transcript has a single exon. The record is from RefSeq and is a predicted model, not a curated record. NCBI's taxonomy places the organism in Eukaryota, Metazoa, Chordata, Mammalia, Eulipotyphla, Soricidae.
ACACUCAAAUCUUUGCCAUUCCUUGAUGCUUUGUCCUGGUGUGGGGACAGAUGGUGUGACAGUACCAGCAGUGGGUAAAACCAGAUGGGACAUUUCCGUUUGUUUUGCUUGAGGCUGUCUCUACUCUGCCACAUUA